GUGCAGCAGGCGCGAAACUUCACACUGUGCGAAAGCACGAUGAGGGAAUCCCAAGUGCUUGCACGUAAGUGUAAGCUGUUUCUCUGUCUAAAACGCAGAGAGAGUAAGGGCUGGGUAAGACGGGUGCCAGCCCGCCGCGGGUGAUACCUGCAGCUCAAGUGGUGACCGUUAUUAUUGGGCCUAAAACGUCCGUAGCCGGUUUUAAUAAAUGCCUGGGUAAAUUGUGUAGCUUAACUAUACGAAUUCCGGGUAGACUGUUAAACUUGAGACCGGGAGAAGUUAGAGGUACUCCUGGGGUAGAGGUGAAAUUCUGUAACUCCUAGGGGGACCACCAGUGGCGAAGGCGUCUAACUAGAACGGGUCUGACGGUGAGGGACGAAGCCCUGGGGCGCAAACGGGGAUUAGAUACCCGUGUAGU
Molecule: ribosomal RNA, 418 nt
Filed under: uncultured microorganism
Description: bacterial SSU rRNA
Rfam family: Archaeal small subunit ribosomal RNA
Source: RNAcentral